This 200-nucleotide ribosomal RNA is filed under the name uncultured bacterium. RNAcentral's name for it is "partial 16S ribosomal RNA". It matches the Rfam family "Bacterial small subunit ribosomal RNA", at positions 29 to 258 of the family's 1533-position model. The record is from RNAcentral.
AACGAACGCUGGCGGCAGGCUUAACACAUGCAAGUCGAACGCCCCGCAAGGGGAGUGGCGCACGGGUGAGUAACACGUGGGAACAUGCCCUCUAGUACGGAGCAACGUCGGGAAACUGACGCUAAUACCGUAUAAUAUCUACGGAUCAAAGAUUUAUCGCUAGAGGAGUGGCCCGCGUCUGAUUAGCUAGUUGGUGAGGU